Molecule: ribosomal RNA, 159 nt
Filed under: uncultured methanogenic archaeon
Lineage: Archaea; Methanobacteriati; Methanobacteriota
Description: partial 16S ribosomal RNA
Rfam family: Archaeal small subunit ribosomal RNA
Source: RNAcentral
ACGGGGGGACGGGGUGCAGCAGGCGCGAAACCUCCGCAAUGUGAGAAAUCGCGACGGGGGGGAUCCCAAGUGCCAUUCUUAACGGGAUGGCUUUUCAUUAGUGUAAAGAGCUUUUGGGAAUAAGGGCUGGGCAAGACCGGUGCCAGCCGCCGCGGUAAU